Molecule: ribosomal RNA, 422 nt
Filed under: uncultured bacterium
Lineage: Bacteria
Description: bacterial SSU rRNA
Rfam family: Bacterial small subunit ribosomal RNA
Source: RNAcentral
UGAGGAAUAUUGGGCAAUGCCCGCAAGGGUGACCCAGCAACGCCGCGUGGAGGAUGAAUGUCGUAAGAUUGUAAACUCCUGUUAGAGGGGAAGAAUAGUACCGGUUGGACCGGUAUAUGACUGUACCCUCAGAGAAAGCCCCGGCUAACUACGUGCCAGCAGCCGCGGUAAUGCGUAGGGGGCAAGCGUUGUCCGGAUUUACUGGGUGUAAAGGGCGCGCAGGCGGGAUAAAAAGUCAGUGGUGAAAUCCUACAGCUUAACUGUAGAACUGCCUUUGAUACUUUUAUUCUUGAGUUCGGGAGAGAGAGACGGAAUUCCAGGUGUAGUGGUGAAAUACGUAGAUAUCUGGAAGAACACCAGUUGCGAAGGCGGUCUCUUGGUCCGACACUGACGCUGAGGCGCGAAAGCGUGGGGAGCAAACA